AGUCCUCUGCAGGAAGACAAUAGUUCCCAGUCGCCAUCAGCAUGUUCAAGCUGCUCUUCGUGGUGCUGGCCGUGCUGGCCGUGGCCUCGGCGCAGUACUUAUACCCCAGCGUGAGCUUCCGCUCCAGCGUCUACCCCAGCGUCUACUCCGGCGUCUACCCCGGCGUAUACUCCAGCGUCUACCCCAACGGCUACAGCUACGGCUACAGCUACGGGCCGCAGUACUACCGGCGCUGAGCGCAGCGGAUCCAAUGACUCUUCCUCAUCGGGCACUUCUUCGUCUUGGUUCAAUAGGUUAAUAUGAAAAUUUUCUCUGUAUUUAAAAAUUGUAAUAAAUUUUUCUUUUUUAACAUUUAAUUCUAUUUUUAUCUUUAUUGGAGUUUUUUAUGUUCCUUACACAAAUAUAUAUCUAAAU
This is a long non-coding RNA of Bacillus rossius redtenbacheri, 414 nucleotides long. RefSeq lists it as uncharacterized. NCBI's taxonomy places the organism in Eukaryota, Metazoa, Arthropoda, Insecta, Phasmatodea, Bacillidae. The record is from RefSeq and is a predicted model, not a curated record. The transcript is spliced from 3 exons.